Molecule: small RNA, 1799 nt
Filed under: Pan troglodytes (chimpanzee)
Lineage: Eukaryota; Metazoa; Chordata; Mammalia; Primates; Hominidae
Description: retained intron
Source: RNAcentral
UUUUUCUUUCUCUUGCUUUUAGGAUAUUUUACUAUAUUUGGUGCCUGCUUAUGGUACAAGAAAAAAAGAUCUUAGGCUAUUUUCUGAGAGGCUAAGAAAAACCAAGGACUUCAAAAAGCUUGGAACAACCUAACUAGGGGAAUCUAUACUAAGAACCCAUAAAAUAAAGCUAAAUUCUGUAAUUAAGAGGGCCAGGGAACCUAGGAUAAAGAGAGGUUUUGAAAAAUGCUAGUUUCUGCUUCUAUCCUCUCCCUUAUGAUGAUUUUCCCAAAUCUGUUUACCCAGGUGUUCCAGGGUAUACUGGAGCACCACAGAUGCUCGCAAGCGCUGUGUAUAUACAUGCAAGAUAGUGGAGUGCCGUCCUCCAGUCGUAGAGCCGGAUAUCAACAGCACUGUUGAACAUGAUGAAAACAGGACCAUUGCCCAUAGUCCAACAUCUUUUACAGAAAGUUCAUCAAAAGAGAGUCAAAACACAGCUGAAAUUAUAAGUCCUCCAUCACCAGACCGACCUCCUCAUUCACAAACCUCUGGCUCCUGUUAUUAUCAUGUCAUCUCAAAGGUCCCCAGGAUUCGAACACCCAGUUAUUCUCCAACACAGAGAUCCCCUGGCUGUCGACCAUUGCCUUCUGCAGGAAGUCCUACCCCAACCACUCAUGAAAUAGUCACAGUAGGUGAUCCUUUACUGUCCUCUGGACUUCGAAGCAUUGGCUCCAGGCGUCACAGUACCUCUUCCUUAUCACCCCAGCGGUCCAAACUCCGGAUAAUGUCUCCAAUGAGAACUGGGAAUACUUACUCUAGGAAUAAUGUUUCCUCAGUCUCCACCAUUGGGACCGCUACUGAUCUUGAAUCAAGUGCCAAAGUAGUUGAUCAUGUCUUGGGGCCACUGAAUUCAAGUACUAGUUUAGGGCAAAACACUUCCACCUCUUCAAAUUUGCAAAGGACAGUGGUUACUGUAGGCAAUAAAAACAGUCACUUGGAUGGAUCUUCAUCUUCAGAAAUGAAGCAGUCCAGUGCUUCAGACUUGGCAUCCAAGAGCUCCUCUUUAAAGGGAGAGAAGACCAAAGUGCUGAGUUCCAAGAGCUCAGAGGGAUCUGCACAUAAUGUGGCUUACCCUGGAAUUCCUAAACUGGCCCCACAGGUUCAUAACACAACAUCUAGAGAACUGAAUGUUAGUAAAAUCGGCUCCUUUGCUGAACCCUCUUCAGUGUCGUUUUCUUCUAAAGAGGCCCUCUCCUUCCCACACCUCCAUUUGAGAGGGCAAAGGAAUGAUCGAGACCAACACACAGAUUCUACCCAAUCAGCAAACUCCUCUGCAGAUGAAGAUACUGAAGUCAAAACCUUGAAGCUAUCUGGAAUGAGCAACAGAUCAUCCAUUAUCAAUGAACAUAUGGGAUCUAGUUCCAGAGAUAGGAGACAGAAAGGGAAAAAAUCUUGUAAAGAAACUUUCAAAGAAAAGCAUUCCAGUAAAUCUUUUUUGGAACCUGGUCAGGUGACAACUGGUGAGGAAGGAAACUUGAAGCCAGAGUUUAUGGAUGAGGUUUUGACUCCUGAGUAUAUGGGCCAACGACCAUGUAACAAUGUUUCUUCUGAUAAGAUUGGUGAUAAAGGCCUUUCUAUGCCAGGAGUCCCCAAAGCUCCACCCAUGCAAGUAGAAGGAUCUGCCAAGGAAUUACAGGCACCACGGAAACGCACAGUCAAAGUGACACUGACACCUCUAAAAAUGGAAAAUGAGAGUCAAUCCAAAAACGCCCUGAAAGAAAGUAGUCCUGCUUCCCCUUUGCAGAUAGAGUCAACAUCUC